This 306-nucleotide ribosomal RNA is filed under the name Triticum aestivum (bread wheat). RNAcentral's name for it is "partial small subunit ribosomal RNA". The record is from RNAcentral. Lineage: Eukaryota; Viridiplantae; Streptophyta; Magnoliopsida; Poales; Poaceae.
AUGGCAGUUGUGGCUGUGCGCGCACGCAAGCGGCUGCGCGCGACACGUCGGUGUGAGAAAUCGGCAAGCCUUUUCCCACAUCGUUCAAUUGAUUAUCUAAGAUCAGAUAGAACGAGCCUUCCACAAGGACAGUGGCGCAUCGAGAGGAUGGUGGACAGUGGCGCAUCGCCGGCGCGGAUGAGGAGAUUGGAGCAGAGAGGGUGGAGAUGGAGCCGUGCGGGGCUGGAGAAGGAGAUUGGAGAAGAGAGGAUGGUGGACAGUGGCGCAUCGCCGGCGCGGAUGAGGAGAUUUGAGAAGAUAGGAUAG